This 412-nucleotide long non-coding RNA is filed under the name Heterocephalus glaber (naked mole-rat). RNAcentral describes it as "lncRNA (ENSHGLG00000042159.1)". Lineage: Eukaryota; Metazoa; Chordata; Mammalia; Rodentia; Bathyergidae. The record is from RNAcentral.
AGACAGGCUGCCAGGCAGGGACUUCUUCUGAAUUACUAGGAAAGAAGACCGCGAUCAGCACAUUUCCAUAUGUUUUUACGGUGCUGUCUUUAUAUGUGUAUGCAAAUCAGUAUGUAAAAUCAAUUCAAGUUAGCUGAAAUUUGAGAGCACUGUUUUGUUUUAUUUCAGACAAAGAAAAUCUACACUUUGAGGCAACCACUGACAAGGGCCAUGCCGUGGAAGGUGCUCCCUGGAUUGAGAGUAUGGAAGGAGCUACUAGCCAGGAAGACCCAGUCUCCAACAUGCAUGGGAUUCAAGCCAGCUGAUGCAGUGCUACCAGACCCAAGAGGCACAGGCUGAGCAGAAGGGAUGGCAUUCAGUGUAAGCGUGGCUAUAGACUGUCCAUGCGUGUUUGUUUGUGCAUCUGCCUGGG